RNAcentral lists this long non-coding RNA (1837 nucleotides) under Homo sapiens (human). RNAcentral describes it as "long intergenic non-protein coding RNA 1582". The record is from RNAcentral. Lineage: Eukaryota; Metazoa; Chordata; Mammalia; Primates; Hominidae.
GGCCCCUAAGAGCCGCAGGGGGGUGGGGAGGUGCCAGGCUGCUGAGGCCUUUGGGUUCCUAGGCUGCUGGCAUUUUAAAACCACCACUGUAUUCCACCUCCCCUUGGAUAACACGCAGAAACAGGCCAAGAAGAAAUUACCUGCUGUUGGUUAUUUCUAUUUCAAAUGAAUACUAGCUGAACAUUUACUAAAUGACAUUGUCAGGUUUCAGCAAAAGCGGCCUGUAAUAGUUGGGUUUUGGCAGAGUUCAAAGACUGGGAAGCAAAGUUCAGCCAUGUUGGGCCUUUGGGCUCAUAGAUGAGCAAGGGUACCCCAAUAUGAGGGCUCAGCAAAUUCUGGAACUUAUCAGUUCUGAAGACCUUUAGAGGAGAAGGAGACAAGUAAAAGGUAUGUAGUCCUGGAGGGCGCUGCUUAAUGAACCAGAAGUCCUGCCUCUUAAGUACCUCACCAGCUCAAAUGUGUGCAUGUCACCUUGGCGUGAAUCGGAGCAGGCGCUGGUGGAUACCGUUUGGAGGCAUGCCAGCAAGGAGCUCCUUGUGUAGCCUGCCUCUGGAGCCUCAAGUUCAACUUCCAUAGGGCCAAAAGGGGAGUCGGGCUGGGCAGAAGCUCCUGAGAACCAAAGCAAAUGGUCUGAGAGUCUGAGAGUGUAGUGGAGGUAACGUGUUCGUGUCCUCUCUGGCUGCAUCACCCCAAGUCCUUGCAGACUCAAGUAGCCUAUUUGCAAGUUUAAAUAGUUUGAGUCCUGGCCGGUAACAAGAAUACUCUACAGUGGCCCAGAGUCAGGGAUAUAGAGUGGCGACUACUUGGCAGAACUGGAGCUUGCUCAGAUGAAAAGAUAAAUUGUACUGGUUAAACGAAGAUCAAGUGCAGGGUCUGGACUUUGUUUCUAUCUUUCAUGUGGACUCUAUAAGCACCUACACACAGCAUUCUAGAAACACUGCUCCCAUCCCUCCUGUCUCAUGUCAUCCUCCCAAUUCCGGGAGUUGGGGGGCAUACUCUUUCCCUGUGUCAUGUGAGAAAUUCCUUUCUCAUGGGAAGCAGGUGGCAUUCCUGGACUCUCCUUGGCCUGGCCGUUGGUAAGCACAGGAAUUCAAGGUGUCUGAAUCUCUUGUCAAAGGUGGGCUGUAAGGCUCCAGAAGAGGAGGACAGAAAGUGCCUGCAGAGCUCCUGCCUGAGGCCUUUGGAUGGGCCCUGCUGGCUUGCCGUGUGUGUGUGUGUGUGUGUGUGUGUGUGUGUGUGUGUGUGGUGUCGUGCUUAUUUGCCCCAAAUGAGGCAAGAGAGCAGUGAUCAGGUGUCUCCCCAGCAUCUAGUUUCAUGAAGACAAUAGAAGUGGGUCGGAUCAGGCCUGCUGCCAUGCUUGGCUUGCCCAUGUCUCCUAGGAUUGGCUGCCUGGUGGCCAUCCCUUUGCCAUCCCCUUGACUGCCCUGUGAAUGAUGUCCACUCUGAGACCCCAGGCCACUCAGAAAAACUGAAGAUUCUCAAGUUCAGGUGCAGUUAGGGGGCAGGUCCUGGUGGUGGGGGAGCUUUGAUGUUCUGCAGUUGGAGGAUCCUCUUUCAGAAUAGUAAUGCAAUUUGUGAAUUAAUAAAAUUAGGUAUGCAAGAGGAUAUGUAGAAAAGAAAAAUCACAAGCUACACAAUUUUUAAGUUGACAAAACUACGAACAUCACAAAAUAAUAUGAUAUUUUAAAUUAAUUAUCUGCCUGGAAUACUCUGUCAUUUUUUUUUGAUCUUUUGCCUGCAUCGUCUUUGAUAGCAGUGUUUUUGAUAUUGCUUUUUAUAGAGAGACUCAAGAUAAUGGAGUCUACUCUGUUGUGGUUAAUUAAACAUUUUUUGGUGU